RNAcentral lists this ribosomal RNA (468 nucleotides) under uncultured bacterium. Its description in RNAcentral is "partial 16S ribosomal RNA". It matches the Rfam family "Bacterial small subunit ribosomal RNA", at positions 28 to 507 of the family's 1533-position model. The record is from RNAcentral.
GACGAACGCUGGCGGCGUGCUUAACACAUGCAAGUCGAACGGAAAGGCCCUGCUUUUGUGGGGUGCUCGAGUGGCGAACGGGUGAGUAACACGUGAGUAACCUGCCCUUGGCUUUGGGAUAACUUCAGGAAACUGGGGCUAAUACCGGAUAGGAGCUCCUGCUGCAUGGUGGGGGUUGGAAAGUUUCGGCGGUUGGGGCUGGACUCGCGGCUUAUCAGCUUGUUGGUGGGGUAGUGGCUUACCAAGGCUUUGACGGGUAGCCGGCCUGAGAGGGUGACCGGCCACAUUGGGCCUGAGAUACGGCCCAGACUCCUACGGGAGGCAGCAGUGGGGAAUAUUGCACAAUGGGCGGAAGCCUGAUGCAGCAACGCCGCGUGCGGGAUGACGGCCUUCGGGUUGUAAACCGCUUUCGCCUGUGACGAAGCGUGAGUGACGGUAAUGGGUAAAGAAGCACCGGCUAACUACGUG